GAUCGAACGGCUGGCGGCGUGCGUUAACACAUGCAAGUCGAACGGAGAAUCAACGGAUUGAGGAUUCGUCCAAAUGAAGUUGAGGAAAGUGGCGGACGGGUGAGUAACGCGUGAGGAACCUGCCUCGGAGUGGGGAAUAACAGUUGGAAACAGCUGCUAAUACCGCAUAAUGCAACGGAAUCGCAUGACUCUGUUGCCAAAGAUUUAUCGCUCUGAGAUGGCCUCGCGUCUGAUUAGCUAGUUGGCGGGGUAACGGCCCACCAAGGCGACGAUCAGUAGCCGGACUGAGAGGUUGGCCGGCCACAUUGGGACUGAGACACGGCCCAG
RNAcentral lists this ribosomal RNA (327 nucleotides) under uncultured bacterium. Its description in RNAcentral is "bacterial SSU rRNA". It matches the Rfam family "Bacterial small subunit ribosomal RNA", at positions 35 to 334 of the family's 1533-position model. The record is from RNAcentral.